UACGAAGGGGGCUAGCGUUGCUCGGAAUUACUGGGCGUAAAGCGCACGUAGGCGGCUUUCUAAGUCGGGGGUGAAAUCCUGGAGCUCAACUCCAGAACUGCCUUCGAUACUGGAGAGCUCGAGUCCGGGAGAGGUGAGUGGAACUGCGAGUGUAGAGGUGAAAUUCGUAGAUAUCGGGAGGAACACCGGUGGCGAAGGCGGCGACCUGGGUAGAUACUGACGCUGAGGUGCGAAAGCGUGGGGAGCAAACAGGG
This 254-nucleotide ribosomal RNA is filed under the name uncultured bacterium. RNAcentral's name for it is "partial 16S ribosomal RNA". It matches the Rfam family "Bacterial small subunit ribosomal RNA", at positions 524 to 777 of the family's 1533-position model. The record is from RNAcentral.